ACUAAAAGACUAGUAACCUAAGUACAAAACGACGCAACUGAUGACAACUUAUUGUUUUCCAAUCCUCCCAACGUUUGCCAAUAUCCAUAACGUUUCCCAAUCCAAAAGGAAACAACAAAUCAAUUUCCUUCCCCUCUAACGAUUCCCGAUCCUCUUCUUGUCGAAAAAUCCCCAAAUCUUUACACUAUCUCAUCCUACCGGUAAAAGCACUUAAAAUUAUCGGAAAUAGCAGUUUCGUUCGCUUCUAAUCCUGUUAAUCUGCUUUCAUCAUUCAAUCUCGGAUUCAUGAUACGCUUCUUUUCCAUCUUCUUCCGGAUAAACCAGACAAAUAAGGCUUUAUUGCGAUUUCAUCAAAGAUAAUCCCCACCAUAUGCACCGGGUUUCUGUUCCUGUUAUUCUUCGUAAUCCCAACCACUGAAGAUUGUGUAAUUCGACCAUGUAUACAAAAAAGUUUUCUGAAUGGGGGCAAGUUGAUCGAAGGAAAGGUUGGUGCAUCUCUACGCCAACAUGAUUGGUUUCCUAUAAGUUGUGUUCAUUGACACUCAAAUUGGACACCAACAGUCACUUAACACGUUCCAGGUUCAAGAACAUAGGCCUAAUUCUCUCUUUUCAUGUUUAUUAUGAAAAAACCCAUAUCACUCUCUUUUUUCCAUCAUGCCAUGAUCGCUUCUUAUGUUUAUAUUUAUAUGUAGUUUUCUGAAUUGGGGCAACUUGAAAGAAAAAGGUUGGUGUAAUGUGUUGUAUUAUUAUCCUUCUCACUAAUCCCUAAUUUUUUUGAAGAUUAAAUGUGCACUUCAGAUUAUUGAAAUUAA
Long non-coding RNA from Lactuca sativa (garden lettuce), 812 nucleotides. RefSeq lists it as uncharacterized. The record is from RefSeq and is a predicted model, not a curated record. Lineage: Eukaryota; Viridiplantae; Streptophyta; Magnoliopsida; Asterales; Asteraceae.